GCUGAUGUCCUGCACAGGUCACAAGCCACAGAUGGUGAUUUACCAUCACCCUGCUUGUGGCUCUGAUUCACUUUAGAUAUUCUGGGACAAAGAUCAAUUUAGUUCUCUCUCUCCAUUCUCCUGUUGUCUCCAGAAGCUUCUCCCAAGUAGCCACAUGGCUUGCUUUCUCAUUUCCUUAGGUUUCCUGCUGAAGAUGGAGAGGAAGAAUUACUGGUGAAAACCAGGACUUGCUCCUUUGCACAGUUGUGGAGAGCAGGCCAUGCCCGGCUGAGCUACUCCAUGAGGUACAGAACAGCAGUUUUCAGGCUGAUCCUUACCCCAAGUUACUCCAGUUUAUAAAGCAUGAGUUUGCCAUGAAUUACUCCAUUUAAAAAAAUAUUUUUAGGGGUAGAUGGACACAAUAUCUUUAUUUAUUUAUUGUAUGUUGUUCUGAGAAUCAAACUCAGUGCCUCGCACAUGCUGGCAAGGGCUCUACCACUGAGCCACAACCCCAGCCUGAAUUACUCCAUUUUGAGUUUAAGUGAUUAGGUGGAAUUACUCUACUCCUUGUUGAUACAAAGCAACCACUAUCCGCCCAGCAAAACCAUAAGGCACAAAAUGGUAAAUUAAUUAUGCUAAUGAAAAUGAGCCCACCUCUGAAUGAAUUAAUCAGAAGCACAUGUAUUCAUGGCCGUAUUAGACUUGUAUCAGGAAAAAACAUGCCCAUGAGUUUUAUCCAACACACAAGAGCACUGAAUGAAGCAACCCGCUUAUCUGAGACCCAUAAAAGGAGGAGCACACCAAGACUGGACACACUGGUACACUGAUCCCCCAUCAUCUGGUUACUCAUCGAGAUCCAUGCCCAGGAAAGUCACACAAAGAUGAGUCUUUGAAUCUGUCUCCUAGAGCUUCAGCACAGUGUGGUUUUUCCAGCCCCUGAUGAUCACACAGGGCCCACUCCCAGCUGAUACUCUGAAAUAGCCAUCAGUCAGGACCCUGGCCUAGAAUAAGUUCCUUAGCUUUGGCUCUGCAGGCCUUUGCAAUUGUAUCUACUCUCUGCCUUUAAUCUUAUUUCAGUCUCCUAAGCCCUGUGGUUGGUUGCCUUAACCCUUUCUUAGCUUUUCAGUUAUAUAUAUAUAUUUGUGUGUGUGUGUGUGUGUGUAAAGUACGAUGUGUGAUUGAUGUGUCACUUGAGUGUUAUAGAUAUUAGUAGUUAAGACUGGAAUAAAAACUUGUGAUUGCUCAGCUUAUGACUACCAGGUGAGCCAUAAAUAUUCAGUGAAAAUGGUACAGCCUAUGAAUUUAUUGUUACUCAAUAAAUUCUGACAUUAUAGAAAGACACAAACAAGUUGGUUCUAUACUAAUGGCAUAGCUUGCUCAUGACAACAGUAUUUUGGGAAACAAGGAAGAAGGAAUUAAAUCUCUCAGUUUAAAAUUUUAUUAUUUUGACUACUAUGUCAUUUAUCAUUUGCUAUAUUCUGGACAUUUUUAAAAGAUUCAAAUUUUUAUUGCUUUCAUUGGACACUUAAUAUCUAUGAAGUAAUAACUAUAAUGUGCAUGUGAGUUUAAAGAAUAAUAAUACCAUGAACACCCAUAUAUGCAGUACCUGGUUUAAAGACAGACUAUUACCAGUAGCCUUGAAGCCACUCUGUGCCUCUGAUUCCUUUCUCCUUCUUCCUUCCCAAAGAUAACAAAUGCCUGAAUUUUAUGUUUAUCAUGCCCUUAUUUUUCCUUAAGAUUUUAUUAUAUAUCACUCUCUAAUCCACCUAUGGCAGCGUUUCCGGUAUUUUUCAAUUUCGUGUAGGUCGAAUGACACUGAAUACAGUUGUGUCACGGGGUUUUAUUGCGCACCUUAUGCUUUUGAAAUCCAGCUGAGUUCCCUCAUUUUCAUUGUUGGAUUCGUAUCUAUUUAAAGAGCAAGCCACACACAGAAAGGCCAAGUACUGCAUGUUCUCAUUUAUAUGUGGAAGCUAAAAAGAAUUAAAUUCAUAAAAGCAGAGAUCAGAAUGUGGUUGCUAGAGGCUGGGGAUGGGGGAGAUGUUCUUGGUCAACGCCUUUAGCCCUUCAGUUAAACAGGCAUGAUAAGUCCUUGAGGCGACAAAGAUGCCAUCUAGCUGAUUCAGUCAUUCCACGUUGUACGCAUUUCUCAAAGCCAUCGCUUUGUACUUCAUAAAUGUAUACAAUUUAUCAAUGUCCAUUAAAAAAUAAAUUUUUUGAAUAACAGGCCACCAUCUAC
Molecule: long non-coding RNA, 2215 nt
Filed under: Marmota monax (woodchuck)
Lineage: Eukaryota; Metazoa; Chordata; Mammalia; Rodentia; Sciuridae
Source: RNAcentral